This 497-nucleotide ribosomal RNA is filed under the name uncultured bacterium. Its description in RNAcentral is "partial 16S ribosomal RNA". It matches the Rfam family "Bacterial small subunit ribosomal RNA", at positions 28 to 507 of the family's 1533-position model. The record is from RNAcentral.
GAUGAACGCUGGCGGCGUGCCUAAUACAUGCAAGUCGAGCGAACAGACGAGGAGCUUGCUCCUCUGACGUUAGCGGCGGACGGGUGAGUAACACGUGGAUAACCUACCUAUAAGACUGGGAUAACUUCGGGAAACCAGAGCUAAUACCGGAUAAUAUAUUGAACCGCAUGGUUCAAUAGUGAAAGACGGUUUUGCUGUCACUUAUCGAUGGAUCCGCGCCGCAUUAGCUAGUUGGUAAGGUAACGGCUUACCAAGGCAACGAUGCGUAGCCGACCUGAGAGGGUGAUCGGCCACACUGGAACUGAGACACGGUCCAGACUCCUACGGGAGGCAGCAGUAGGGAAUCUUCCGCAAUGGGCGAAAGCCUGACGGAGCAACGCCGCGUGAGUGAUGAAGGUCUUCGGAUCGUAAAACUCUGUUAUUAGGGAAGAACAAAUGUGUAAGUAACUAUGCACGUCUUGACGGUACCUAAUCAGAAAGCCACGGCUAACUACGUG